UGAGCCAAGUUUAGGGUUUCUUAAAAACCCAAAGAUGUUUGAACUGAAGAGUUUGAUCAUGGCUCAGAUUGAACGCUGGCGGCAGGCCUAACACAUGCAAGUCGAGCGGUAGA
This 113-nucleotide ribosomal RNA is filed under the name Pseudomonas mandelii. RNAcentral describes it as "partial 16S ribosomal RNA". The stretch from base 41 to 113 matches the Rfam family "Bacterial small subunit ribosomal RNA", at positions 1 to 73 of the family's 1533-position model. Lineage: Bacteria; Pseudomonadati; Pseudomonadota; Gammaproteobacteria; Pseudomonadales; Pseudomonadaceae. The record is from RNAcentral.